RNAcentral lists this ribosomal RNA (179 nucleotides) under uncultured bacterium. Its description in RNAcentral is "partial 16S ribosomal RNA". It matches the Rfam family "Bacterial small subunit ribosomal RNA", at positions 350 to 525 of the family's 1533-position model. The record is from RNAcentral.
GAUCGGACGGAAUAUUGGACAAUGGGUGAGAGCCUGAUCCAGCCAUCCCGCGUGAAGGAUGACGGCCCUAUGGGUUGUAAACUUCUUUUGUAUAGGGAUAAACCUAGAUACGUGUAUCUAGCUGAAGGUACUAUACGAAUAAGCACCGGCUAACUCCGUGCCAGCAGCCGCGGUAAUUA